GAGGGAAAAGUAUCAUCUGAUCCUGUAGCUAUUGAUGCACCUGGAGGCUUUCUUUUUGAAUGGUGGUCAGUUUUCUGGGAUAUAUUUAUUGCAAGGACAAAUGAGAAGCACUCAGAGGUUGCUGCAUCUUAUAUCGAGACUCAGUUCAUUAAAGCGCGGGAGCAGCAGCAGCAACAACAGCAGCAAUCUCAACCACCUCAGCAUCAACAACACCAGCAGCAGCCGCAGCAGCAACAGCAACUGCAGAUGCAACAGCUCCUAUUGCAGAGGCAUGCUCAGCAGCAGCAGCAACAGCAGCAGCAGCA
This 305-nucleotide unclassified non-coding RNA is filed under the name Hevea brasiliensis (rubber tree). The record is from RNAcentral. Lineage: Eukaryota; Viridiplantae; Streptophyta; Magnoliopsida; Malpighiales; Euphorbiaceae.